UACGGAGGGUGCAAGCGUUACUCGGAAUCACUGGGCGUAAAGAGCGUGUAGGCGGGUUGAUAAGUUCGAAGUGAAAUCCUAUAGCUUAACUAUAGAACUGCUUUGAAAACUGUUAACCUAGAAUAUGGGAGAGGUAGAUGGAAUUUCUGGUGUAGGGGUAAAAUCCGUAGAGAUCAGAAGGAAUACCGAUUGCGAAGGCGAUCUACUGGAACAUUAUUGACGCUGAGACGCGAAAGCGUGGGUAGCAAACGGG
RNAcentral lists this ribosomal RNA (253 nucleotides) under uncultured bacterium. RNAcentral describes it as "partial 16S ribosomal RNA". It matches the Rfam family "Bacterial small subunit ribosomal RNA", at positions 524 to 776 of the family's 1533-position model. RNAcentral also lists the same sequence under 1 other name. The record is from RNAcentral.